This 454-nucleotide ribosomal RNA is filed under the name uncultured Rikenella sp. RNAcentral describes it as "bacterial SSU rRNA". It matches the Rfam family "Bacterial small subunit ribosomal RNA", at positions 341 to 792 of the family's 1533-position model. Lineage: Bacteria; Pseudomonadati; Bacteroidota; Bacteroidia; Bacteroidales; Rikenellaceae. The record is from RNAcentral.
ACGGGAGGCAGCAGUGAGGAAUAUUGGUCAAUGGGCGAGAGCCUGAACCAGCCAUGUCGCGUGCAGGAAUACGGCCCUAUGGGUUUUAAACUGCUUUUGCCUGGGGAUAAAGUGGCGGACUUGUCCGUUAUUGCAGGUACCAGGCGAAUAAGGAUCGGCUAACUCCGUGCCAGCAGCCGCGGUAAUACGGAGGAUGCAAGCGUUAUCCGGAUUUAUUGGGUUUAAAGGGUGCGUAGGCUGUGCGACAAGUCAGGGGUGAAAGCCCGUCGCCUAACGACGGAACUGCCUUUGAUACUGUCGCGCUGGAAUACGGAUGCCGUGGGAGGAAUGAGUAGUGUAGCGGUGAAAUGCAUAGAUAUUACUCAGAACACCGAUUGCGAAGGCAUCUCACGAAUCCGUCAUUGACGCUGAGGCACGAAAGCGUGGGGAUCAAACAGGAUUAGAUACCCUGGUA